Molecule: non-coding RNA, 134 nt
Organism: Brachypodium distachyon (stiff brome)
Lineage: Eukaryota; Viridiplantae; Streptophyta; Magnoliopsida; Poales; Poaceae
Source: Rfam
UUGAUACUUCCUCCAUCCAACAAAAGAUGUUUCAACUUUAACUAAAUUUGAAUGCAUAUAUACACUAAAUCAUGUAUAGAUACAUCCAAAUUUUGACAAACUUGAGACAUCUUUUGUUGGACGGAAAGUACAAG